GACGAACGCUGGCGGCGUGCUUAACACAUGCAAGUCGAACGGAAAGGCCCUGCUUUUGUGGGGUGCUCGAGUGGCGAACGGGUGAGUAACACGUGAGUAACCUGCCCUUGACUUUGGGAUAACUUCAGGAAACUGGGGCUAAUACCGGAUAGGAGCUCCUGCUGCAUGGUGGGGGUUGGAAAGUUUCGGCGGUUGGGGAUGGACUCGCGGCUUAUCAGCUUGUUGGUGGGGUAGUGGCUUACCAAGGCUUUGACGGGUAGCCGGCCUGAGAGGGUGACCGGCCACAUUGGGACUGAGAUACGGCCCAGACUCCUACGGGAGGCAGCAGUGGGGAAUAUUGAACAAUGGGCGGAAGCCUGAUGCAGCAACGCCGCGUGCGGGAUGACGGCCUUCGGGUUGUAACCCGCUUUCGCCUGUGACGAAGCGUGAGUGACGGUAAUGGGUAAAGAAGCACCGGCUAACUACGUG
RNAcentral lists this ribosomal RNA (468 nucleotides) under uncultured bacterium. RNAcentral's name for it is "partial 16S ribosomal RNA". It matches the Rfam family "Bacterial small subunit ribosomal RNA", at positions 28 to 507 of the family's 1533-position model. The record is from RNAcentral.